Oncorhynchus nerka (sockeye salmon) is the source of this 867-nucleotide long non-coding RNA. RefSeq lists it as uncharacterized. The record is from RefSeq and is a predicted model, not a curated record. The transcript has 3 exons. Lineage: Eukaryota; Metazoa; Chordata; Actinopteri; Salmoniformes; Salmonidae.
AGGGGAGGUACGUGAGGCGACGUUGGCUCCCUCUGCUGGGAAUAUGGGAGUUGGGCACCCCGACGCGGACAGCUAAGUGGAGGUAAUUACAGGAAAGUGCCAGCCGUGGAGGCUAAAUAAAAGGAGCACGAUGGCACACCACGGGAGAGAGACGGACACCAGUUAAGAAAGACCGAGCAAAACUUAAGUUAUUUCUUUGAUAUAUUUAUUUUCUGUCUUAGUAAAGUUGUUUUUGCAGACUGAAGCCUCCCUGUCAAUCUCUGCACGCUCCACCCAACGAUCUUGUCUCAUCGCUGCAAAUCACCAACGGGAUCGAGAGGUGAAGGUCGAGUCAUACGUCCUCCAUAACUCAACAAACAACGCUUCUUAACCCGGAAGCAAGCUGCACCAAUGUGUUGGAGGAAACACCGAGGUGACCGAGGUCAGCCUGCAGGCUGCUGGCUCGCCACAAGGAGUCGCUAGAGCGCGAUGAGCCAAGUAAAGCCCCCCUGGCCAAGCCCUCGCCUAACCCGGACGACGCUGGACCAAUUGUGCGCCAACCUAUGGGACCGGUUGUGAUACAGCCUGGAAUCGAACCCAGGAUUCGGAAGUAACCAUGGAGGAACAUCCCCUUCACCACAAAGGCCAACCUCCAACUCCCUCAAACCACUCAUCAGCAAGCUUUCCAACUGUCCAACCAAAAGCACUGCCUUGUCUACUAGUAUAUUCCCAACAGUCAUCUAGAACAGUAGCAGUGGGAUGCUCAACCUCACAGCCUUUCAACCCAAGAAGCUAAUGACAACUUUUUACACCAUUUAUCCAAAGGCAUCUCACCCGCCUCCACUUGUAAGGCACAUACAGAUGUUGAUUUAAAUGCACCAAUACAUA